RNAcentral lists this ribosomal RNA (621 nucleotides) under uncultured Pseudoalteromonas sp. RNAcentral's name for it is "bacterial SSU rRNA". It matches the Rfam family "Bacterial small subunit ribosomal RNA", at positions 53 to 670 of the family's 1533-position model. The record is from RNAcentral. Lineage: Bacteria; Pseudomonadati; Pseudomonadota; Gammaproteobacteria; Alteromonadales; Pseudoalteromonadaceae.
ACAUGCAAGUCGAGCGGUAACAUUUCUAGCUUGCUAGAAGAUGACGAGCGGCGGACGGGUGAGUAAUGCUUGGGAACAUGCCUUGAGGUGGGGGACAACAGUUGGAAACGACUGCUAAUACCGCAUAAUGUCUAACGGACCAAAGGGGGCUUCGGCUCUCGCCUUUAGAUUGGCCCAAGUGGGAUUAGCUAGUUGGUGAGGUAAUGGCUCACCAAGGCGACGAUCCCUAGCUGGUUUGAGAGGAUGAUCAGCCACACUGGGACUGAGACACGGCCCAGACUCCUACGGGAGGCAGCAGUGGGGAAUAUUGCACAAUGGGCGCAAGCCUGAUGCAGCCAUGCCGCGUGUGUGAAGAAGGCCUUCGGGUUGUAAAGCACUUUCAGUCAGGAGGAAAGGUUAGUAGUUAAUACCUGCUAGCUGUGACGUUACUGACAGAAGAAGCACCGGCUAACUCCGUGCCAGCAGCCGCGGUAAUACGGAGGGUGCGAGCGUUAAUCGGAAUUACUGGGCGUAAAGCGUACGCAGGCGGUUUGUUAAGCGAGAUGUGAAAGCCCCGGGCUCAACCUGGGAACUGCAUUUCGAACUGGCAAACUAGAGUGUGAUAGAGGGUGGUAGAAUUUC